UCCGGUUUGGCACCGGCAGUCCUCCCAGAGUCCCCGACUUGACUCGCUGGCAACUGGGAGCGGGGGUUGCGCUCGUUGCGGGACUUAACCCAACAUCUCACGACACGAGCUGACGACAACCAUGCAGCACCUCUGCGGACUCCCUUGCGGGUCAGCCAAUGUUUCCAACGGCUUACCAUCCGUAGUUCAAGCCCAGGUAAGGUUCUUCGCGUUGCGUCGAAUUAAACCACAUGUUCCACCGCUUGUGCGGGCCCCCGUCAAUUCCUUUGAGUUUUAGCCUUGCGGCCGUACUCCCCAGGCGGGAUGCUUAAUGCGUUAGCUUCGGCACGGACGGAGUCGACACCGCCCACACCUAGCAUCCAUCGUUUACGGCGUGGACUAC
RNAcentral lists this unclassified non-coding RNA (382 nucleotides) under uncultured bacterium. RNAcentral describes it as "contains 16S-23S intergenic spacer region". The record is from RNAcentral.